AGAGUUUGAUCCUGGCUCAGGAUGAACGCUAGCUACAGGCUUAACACAUGCAAGUCGAGGGGAAACGAUAUUGGAAGCUUGCUUCCGAUAGGCGUCGACCGGCGCACGGGUGAGUAACGCGUAUCCAACCUGCCCACCACUUGGGGAUAACCUUGCGAAAGUAAGACUAAUACCCAAUGAUAUCUCUAGAAGACAUCUGAAAGAGAUUAAAGAUUUAUCGGUGAUGGAUGGGGAUGCGUCUGAUUAGCUUGUUGGCGGGGUAACGGCCCACCAAGGCAACGAUCAGUAGGGGUUCUGAGAGGAAGGUCCCCCACAUUGGAACUGAGACACGGUCCAAACUCCUACGGGAGGCAGCAGUGAGGAAUAUUGGUCAAUGGACGAGAGUCUGAACCAGCCAAGUAGCGUGCAGGAAGACGGCCCUAUGGGUUGUAAACUGCUUUUAUAAGGGAAUAAAGUGAGAGUCGUGACUCUUUUUGCAUGUACCUUAUGAAUAAGGACCGGCUAAUUCCGUGCCAGCAGCCGCGGUAAUACGGAAGGUCCGGGCGUUAUCCGGAUUUAUUGGGUUUAAAGGGAGCGUAGGCCGGAGAUUAAGCGUGUUGUGAAAUGUAGACGCUCAACGUCUGCACUGCAGCGCGAACUGGUUUCCUUGAGUACGCACAAAGUGGGCGGAAUUCGUGGUGUAGCGGUGAAAUGCUUAGAUAUCACGAAGAACUCCGAUUGCGAGGGCAGCUCACUGGAGCGCAACUGACGCUGAAGCUCGAAAGUGCGGGUAUCGAACAGGAUUAGAUACCCUGGUAGUCCGCACGGUAAACGAUGGAUGCCCGCUGUUGGUCUGAAUAGGUCAGCGGCCAAGCGAAAGCAUUAAGCAUCCCACCUGGGGAGUACGCCGGCAACGGUGAAGCUCAAAGGAAUUGACGGGGGCCCACACAAGCAGUGGAGUAUGUGGUUUAAUUCGACGCAACGCGAAGAACCUUACCAAGUCUUGACAUCCCUUGACGAUGCUGGAAACAGUAUUUCUCUUCGGAGCAAGGAGACAGGUGGUGCAUGGUUGUCGUCAGCUCGUGUCGUGAGAUGUUGGGUUAAGUCCCGCAACGAGCGCAACCCUUAUGGUCAGUUACUACGCAAGAGGACUCUGGCCAGACUGCCGUUGACAAAACGGAGGAAGGUGGGGAUGACGUCAAAUCAUCAUGCCCUUUAUGACUUGGGCUACACACGUACUACAAUGGCGUUAAACAAAGAGAAGCAAGACCGCGAGGUGGAGCAAAACUCAGAAACAACGUCCCAGUUCGGACUGCAGGCUGCAACUCGCCUGCACGAAGUCGGAAUUGCUAGUAAUCGCAGAUCGGCAUGCUGCGGUGAAUACGUUCCCGGGCCUUGUACACACCGCCCGUCACACCAUGGGAGCCGGGGAGACCCGAAGUCGGUAGUCUAACCGCAAGGAGGACGCCGCCGAAGGUAAAACUGGUGAUUGGGGUGAAGUCGUAACAAGGUA
This 1492-nucleotide ribosomal RNA is filed under the name metagenome. RNAcentral's name for it is "bacterial SSU rRNA". It matches the Rfam family "Bacterial small subunit ribosomal RNA". The record is from RNAcentral.